GCAGUGAUGGCUCAGUGGUUAAGGCUCUGGGUUACUGUGCAGAAGGUCAGGAGAUCAAUCCCCAGUCACUGUU
Non-coding RNA from Ameiurus melas (black bullhead), 73 nucleotides. NCBI's taxonomy places the organism in Eukaryota, Metazoa, Chordata, Actinopteri, Siluriformes, Ictaluridae. The record is from the annotation of a GenBank genome assembly.